GCGAGUGUAGUUCAAUGGUAGAACGACAGCCUUCCAAGCUGUAUACGUGAGUUCGAUUCUCAUCACUCGCUCCA
This 74-nucleotide transfer RNA is filed under the name Solobacterium moorei. Its description in RNAcentral is "tRNA-Gly". It matches the Rfam family "tRNA". From Rfam's summary of the family: Transfer RNA (tRNA) molecules are approximately 80 nucleotides in length. Lineage: Bacteria; Bacillati; Bacillota; Erysipelotrichia; Erysipelotrichales; Erysipelotrichaceae. RNAcentral also lists the same sequence under 5 other names. The record is from RNAcentral.